This 1359-nucleotide ribosomal RNA is filed under the name uncultured bacterium. RNAcentral describes it as "bacterial SSU rRNA". It matches the Rfam family "Bacterial small subunit ribosomal RNA", at positions 28 to 1387 of the family's 1533-position model. The record is from RNAcentral.
GACGAACGCUGGCGGCGUGCUUAACACAUGCAAGUCGAACGAAGCUUGAUUACGGAUUCUUCGGAUGAAGUAUGAUAUGACUGAGUGGCGGACGGGUGAGUAACGCGUGAGUAACCUGCCCUUCAGAGGGGGAUAGCGUUUGGAAACGAACGGUAAUACCGCAUAAUGUAUUUUGACCGCAUGAUCGAAAUACCAAAUAUUUAUCGCUGAAGGAUGGACUCGCGUCUGAUUAGGUAGUUGGUGGGGUAACGGCCUACCAAGCCGACGAUCAGUAGCCGGACUGAGAGGUUGAUCGGCCACAUUGGGACUGAGACACGGGCCCAGACUCCUACGGGAGGCAGCAAGUGGGGAAUAUUGCACAAUGGGCGCAAGCCUGAUGCAGCAACGCCGCGUGAAGGAAGACGGUUUUCGGAUUGUAAACUUCUGUUCUUAGUGAAGAAUAAUGACGGUAGCUAAGGAGCAAGCCACGGCUAACUACGUGCCAGCAGCCGCGGUAAUACGUAGGUGGCAAGCGUUGUCCGGAAUUACUGGGUGUAAAGGGAGCGCAGGCGGGUGAUCAAGUCAGCUGUGAAAACUACGGGCUUAACCCGUAGACUGCAGUUGAAACUGUUCAUCUUGAGUGAAGUAGAGGUUGGCGGAAUUCCGAGUGUAGCGGUGAAAUGCGUAGAUAUUCGGAGGAACACCGGUGGCGAAGGCGGCCAACUGGGCUUUAACUGACGCUGAGGCUCGAAAGUGUGGGGAGCAAACAGGAUUAGAAUACCCCUGGUAGUCCACACUGUAAACGAUGAUUGCUAGGUGUGGGGGGUCUGACCCCUUCCGUGCCGGAGCUAACGCAAUAAGCAAUCCACCUGGGGAGUACGACCGCAAGGUUGAAACUCAAAGGAAUUGACGGGGACCCGCACAAGCAGUGGAUUAUGUGGUUUAAUUCGAAGCAACGCGAAGAACCUUACCAGCACUUGACAUCCAACUAACGAAAUAGAGAUAUAUUAGGUGCCCUUCGGGGAAAGUUGAGACAGGUGGUGCAUGGUUGUCGUCAGCUCGUGUCGUGAGAUGUUGGGUUGAGUCCCGCAACGAGCGCAACCCUCGCCAUUAGUUGCUACGCAAGAGCACUCUAAUGGGACCGCUACCGACAAGGUGGAGGAAGGUGGGGACGACGUCAAAUCAUCAUGCCCCUUAUGUGCUGGGCUACACACGUAAUACAAUGGCCAUCAACAGAGAGAAGCAAUACCGCGAGGUGGAGCAAAACUUCAAAAAUGGUCUCAGUUCGGACUGCAGGCUGCAACCCGCCUGCACGAAGUUGGAAUUGCUAGUAAUCGUGGAUCAGCAUGCCACGGUGAAUACGUUCCCGGGUCUUGCACA